UCCUGGCUCAGAACGAACGCUGGCGGCAGGCUUCAUACAUGCAAGUCGAGCGCGAAAGUCCCCUUCGGGGGGCGAUUAGAGCGGCGCACGGGUGAGUAACGGGUGGAUAAUCUGCCUUCCGGUGGAGGAUAACAGCGGGAAACUGCUGCUAAUACUGCGUACGUUUGCUGUCCGCAAGGACGGUAAAGAAAGGCGCGUUUGCGUCGCCGGAAGAUGAGUCCGCCGCCCAUUAGCUAGUUGGCGGGAUAACAGCCCACCAAGGCAACGAUGGGUAGCCGAGCUGAGAGGUUGAUCGGCCACACUGGAACUGAGACACGGUCCAGACACCUACGGGUGGCAGCAGUAGGGAAUAUUGGUCAAUGGGCGAAAGCCUGAACCAGCCAUGCCGCGUGGAGGAUGAAGGCCUUCGGGUCGUAAACUCCUUUUCUAAGGGAAGAAUCCCUGGUGGAGGAAAUGCCACCGGGUUGACGGUACCUUAGGAAUAAGCAACGGCCAACUCCGUGCCAGCAGCCGCGGUAAUACGGAGGUUGCAAGCGUUGUUCGGAAUUACUGGGCGUAAAGGGAGCGCAGGCGGCCAGGUCAGUCUGAAGUGAAAUCCCGAGGCUCAACCUCGGAAGUGCUUUGGAUACUGCCUGGCUUGAGUACGUGAGAGGAGAGCGGAAUUCCAGGUGUAGCGGUGAAAUGCGUAGAUAUCUGGAGGAACACCGAUGGCGAAAGCAGCUCUCUGGCACGUUACUGACGCUGAGGCUCGAAAGCGUGGGGAGCGAACAGGAUUAGAUACCCUGGUAGUCCACGCCGUAAACGUUGUGCACUAGGUGUGGGAGGUAUCGACCCCUUCCGUGCCGCAGCUAACGCAUUAAGUGCACCGCCUGGGGAGUACGG
RNAcentral lists this ribosomal RNA (882 nucleotides) under uncultured organism. RNAcentral's name for it is "bacterial SSU rRNA". It matches the Rfam family "Bacterial small subunit ribosomal RNA", at positions 17 to 885 of the family's 1533-position model. The record is from RNAcentral.